Dicentrarchus labrax (European seabass) is the source of this 2486-nucleotide RNA transcript. It is a transcript of the gene named glucuronokinase with putative uridyl pyrophosphorylase, with no coding region annotated. The record is from RefSeq and is a predicted model, not a curated record. The transcript has 21 exons. NCBI's taxonomy places the organism in Eukaryota, Metazoa, Chordata, Actinopteri, Moronidae.
GCAUCAUUUCAUUGACGCUGGGAGAAUUCAGUACUCGCAGUUACUGUAGAUAUUUCUCUACCCCUGCACUUUUAAAGGAACGACAGGACAAACUCAAGUUUCCUCAAUGAUCUGCAUACUGCUGGUAGCCGGCCACGGCACCGUCUUAGAGACACAAAUUAAGAAUGAUGACACAGGCUUAUACAGCCACCUGACUGGGGUACCAAAGGCCUUACUUCCUGGCACUGGUGGAAAGAAGAUCCUUGACUUUUGGUGGGAGACAGUCAACAUGCGGCAGCUGUUCACAGAGGUGUAUCUGGUCACUAAUGCAGACAAGUAUAAGUACUACGAGCGCUGGGCCACAGCGAAUGACUUCCCGGUGGAAAAUGUGGUGAAUGACGGCAGCACUACGUUGGAGGACCGUCUCGGAGCCGUGGCUGACCUGCAGCUGGCCAUACGCAGCCGCAAGCUCCAGGACGACAUCAUUGUGAUUGCUGGAGACAUGCUGUGUGCAGACCAGAACUUUGACAUUGCUCAAGUGAUCCGCUUCUUCAAGUCAAAGCCUGGAGAGCUGAUCAUAUACUAUGAGCUGGAAGAGAGUGAGAAAAGCAGCUCCAGGGGCAUCGUGGAGGUAUGCCCUGACACCCACAGGAUAACUCGCUUCUUGGAGAAACCGCAGGAAGGCCUGACAGAAUCCCGGCUGGCCAGCGUAGUGUUUUACUGCAUCCAGAGAGACACGCUGCCCUACCUGUCUGACUUCCUCAGCCUGCAGCCUCAAGCCACAGACAGGAGCUUCGGACGAUUCUGGGAGUGGCUCAUUAAUGAGAAGCAGCUGGAUGUGUUUGGGAUGAAGCUUCCUACUGGCUUCCAGCUCAUCGGACAAGUGGGCCUGUCAGACUACACCAAGUGGCUCACCCACUACUCCACCAAGCCACAAGACAACCCCGCUAAACCAAUCACGUGCCGAUCAUAUGCCAGAGUUGGAUUAAUGGGGAAUCCCUCAGACGGCUUCAAUGGGAAAACCAUUGCUAUGUCCAUCUCCAACUUCUGGGCCGAGGUCACUCUAGUGGAGAGCCAGACUUUGGUUUUAGUCCCUCAUCCGCUCAAUGACCCCACAGAGUUUGGAAGCUUGCAAGAUCUGUUCUGCAUCAGCAGGAAAGAAGGGUACCUGGGAGGUCUGCGGCUGCUGCAGGCCACCUGUAAGAAGUUCUACCAGUUCUGCUCCAAACAAGGUAUUGCACUGACAAAGCAGAACUUCACACUGAAGUACGACACCAACAUUCCUCGGCAAGUGGGCCUUGCUGGAAGCAGUGCCAUCGUCUCAGCUACCCUCAAGUGCCUUAUGAAAUUCUACAACAUCACAGACAAUGAUCUCCCGAAGCCGAUCCGAGCCAACUUCAUCCUCAACGUGGAGACUGAUGAACUUUUCAUUACUGCUGGCCUGCAGGACAGAGUUGUUCAGGUCUAUGAAGGAUUAGUCUACAUGGAUUUUAGCAAGAAGCUCAUGGAGGAUCAGGGCUAUGGGAACUAUGUUUCUAUGGACAUGAGUGGGCUCCCACCGUUCUGGCUGGCUUACCUGAGCGACCCCAGUGACUCUGGACGGAUCCACAGCAACAUCAGACAGCGCUGGCUCAGCGCUCCCCCUGCAGGUCACAGUUCCAUCAGGUCAUAGACGUUCAUGGUUCUCAGAGGAUAAAUCUUGCUGACUUCGGUGAUCUUCCUCCAUUGGCUGUUGCACCACUAUGAGGUUCACGUUUGCGGUUUUAAAUGAAACGUCCCGACAACUAUUGGCUGGAUUUUCAUGGCAUACUUUACCUUACGUCACCAGGAUAAUCCACCCAGCUUUCCAGGGCAGUCUGAGUACAUUGAUAACUGAUGUGCAUGUUCCCGUCUGAGUCGUACCAACUUUGUUUUUUCCUUUAGUCUCAGAUUUAAUAGGCAAUACUUUGGUUAAUAACCAAAUACCCUCAAAACUAAUGACUUUCCCAUUAGCCCAAUGCUAAGACAGUGAACAUGGUGAAGUGGUAUCUACUAAACAUCAUUGUCUUUGUGAGCAUGGUAGCGUGCUUACAUUAGCAGUUAUCACAAAGCACCGCUAUGCCUACGUACAGCCUCGCAGAGCCACUACCAUGGCUGUAUUUAAUCUCAUUUUAUAGCCACAAAGUAUUCUUUACUGGGCAGAAAAGCUGCUGAUAUAAAGAGCAACACAUUUCAGUUUUCUAUAAACAGACAAAAAAGUUGUUUUAAAAUAACAUGCAAGCCCAUGUGCACAUUUACAUCUUUCUGUUCCUGUUAGGAGAAACUGGAAACACAUUGGUUCGUUUGAUGAACUACUUUCAUGUUGCUCUCUCUCGACAGGGGAGCCUCUGGUAGUCGAGGCCAUGAAGACUUUUGCUGAGCUCACAGAUCAAGCCAGGGCAGCUCUGCAGAACAGAGACUGGGGCACUCUGGCACAGCUGAUGGACCAGAACUUUGAGCUGAGGAGGACUGUCUACACUGAUGACUGU